UACGUAGGGUGCGAGCGUUAAUCGGAAUUACUGGGCGUAAAGCGUGCGCAGGCGGUGAUGUAAGACAGGUGUGAAAUCCCCGGGCUUAACCUGGGAACUGCAUUUGUGACUGCAUCGCUGGAGUGCGGCAGAGGGGGAUGGAAUUCCGCGUGUAGCAGUGAAAUGCGUAGAGAUGCGGAGGAACACCGAUGGCGAAGGCAGCCCCCUGGGUCGACACUGACGCUCAGGCACGAAAGCGUGGGGAGCAAACAGG
This 253-nucleotide ribosomal RNA is filed under the name uncultured bacterium. Its description in RNAcentral is "partial 16S ribosomal RNA". It matches the Rfam family "Bacterial small subunit ribosomal RNA", at positions 524 to 776 of the family's 1533-position model. The record is from RNAcentral.